This 30-nucleotide non-coding RNA is filed under the name Cryptococcus neoformans. The record is from RNAcentral. Lineage: Eukaryota; Fungi; Basidiomycota; Tremellomycetes; Tremellales; Cryptococcaceae. RNAcentral also lists the same sequence under 2 other names.
UCCGUAGGUGAACCUGCGGAAGGAUCAGUA